CGCAUCUGUAGCAAUUACAGAUGGCGCACGGCGCACGGGUGCGUAACACGUGGGUAAUCUGCCCUUCGAAGGGGAAUAACUCGCCGAAAGGCGAGCUAAUUCCGCAUAACAUUCCGAGAACCUUGGUUUUUGGAUUCAAAGGCGUAAGUCGUCGGAGGAGGAGCCCGCGCACGAUUAGCUAGUUGGUAGGGUAACGGCCUACCAAGGCUACGAUCGUUAGCUGGUCUGAGAGGAUGGCCAGCCACACUGGAACUGAGACACGGUCCAGACUCCUACGGGAGGCAGCAGUGGGGAAUCUUGCACAAUGGGCGAAAGCCUGAUGCAGCGACGCCGCGUGGGGGAUGAAGCUUCUCGGAGUGUAAACCCCUUUCGACCCGGACGAAUGCCCC
This 389-nucleotide ribosomal RNA is filed under the name uncultured bacterium. Its description in RNAcentral is "bacterial SSU rRNA". It matches the Rfam family "Bacterial small subunit ribosomal RNA", at positions 70 to 455 of the family's 1533-position model. The record is from RNAcentral.